RNAcentral lists this transfer RNA (71 nucleotides) under Campylobacter jejuni. RNAcentral describes it as "tRNA-Asn". It matches the Rfam family "tRNA". From Rfam's summary of the family: Transfer RNA (tRNA) molecules are approximately 80 nucleotides in length. Their secondary structure includes four short double-helical elements and three loops (D, anti-codon, and T loops). The record is from RNAcentral. Lineage: Bacteria; Pseudomonadati; Campylobacterota; Epsilonproteobacteria; Campylobacterales; Campylobacteraceae.
GAUUAGCUCAGCGGUAGAGUAGUCGGCUGUUAACCGAUUGGUCGUAGGUUCGAAUCCUACAUCCGGAGCCA